This 737-nucleotide ribosomal RNA is filed under the name soil bacterium Gent-S1A-M1LLLSSL-3. Its description in RNAcentral is "bacterial SSU rRNA". It matches the Rfam family "Bacterial small subunit ribosomal RNA", at positions 93 to 841 of the family's 1533-position model. The record is from RNAcentral.
UAGUGGCGAACGGGUGAGUAACACGUGAGUAACCUGCCCUUGACUCUGGGAUAAGCCUGGGAAACUGGGUCUAAUACCGGAUACGACCGAUCACCGCAUGGUGUGUUGGUGGAAAGCUUUUGCGGUUUUGGAUGGACUCGCGGCCUAUCAGCUUGUUGGUGGGGUAAUGGCCUACCAAGGCGACGACGGGUAGCCGGCCUGAGAGGGUGACCGGCCACACUGGGACUGAGACACGGCCCAGACUCCUACGGGAGGCAGCAGUGGGGAAUAUUGCACAAUGGGCGAAAGCCUGAUGCAGCGACGCCGCGUGAGGGAUGACGGCCUUCGGGUUGUAAACCUCUUUCAGUAGGGAAGAAGCGAAAGUGACGGUACCUGCAGAAGAAGCGCCGGCUAACUACGUGCCAGCAGCCGCGGUAAUACGUAGGGCGCAAGCGUUAUCCGGAAUUAUUGGGCGUAAAGAGCUCGUAGGCGGUUUGUCGCGUCUGCUGUGAAAGACCGGGGCUCAACUCCGGUUCUGCAGUGGGUACGGGCAGACUAGAGUGAUGUAGGGGAGACUGGAAUUCCUGGUGUAGCGGUGAAAUGCGCAGAUAUCAGGAGGAACACCGAUGGCGAAGGCAGGUCUCUGGGCAUUAACUGACGCUGAGGAGCGAAAGCAUGGGGAGCGAACAGGAUUAGAUACCCUGGUAGUCCAUGCCGUAAACGUUGGGCACUAGGUGUGGGGGACAUUCCACGUUUUC